This is a long non-coding RNA of Dreissena polymorpha, 1550 nucleotides long. RefSeq lists it as uncharacterized. Lineage: Eukaryota; Metazoa; Mollusca; Bivalvia; Myida; Dreissenidae. The transcript is spliced from 5 exons. The record is from RefSeq and is a predicted model, not a curated record.
UGUACCCUAGAUACGGGAGCGACAAAUGGGCAUGGCACGCAGCUGUCAUCGACGCAAACCAGUUCUUAAUGUUGAAGUUCGCAACUCCCGUCUACGUAACAAAAGUCGACGUCUACGAGACUUUCAAUGCUGGCGGUGUCAAGGAAAUUGGGUGCUUCGAUUUCCAAGAAGAAAUGUGGCCCAACGGAACAAUGGUCGUUAACAGGAGGUGGAUUUAGCUAUGGUCGACGCCCCAAGUAUCCGUUAUUAGGUCUGCGAGGAUAUUUAGUCCAUCGUUUGAGUCUACAAUUCGUUGUUUCUCGGACACCAUUCUGCUGGUUAUCGACUGCACCGCUGCAAACACCCCGGUGGAGAUAGACGCUGUGAGGCUGAAAGGCUACCAGAAGUCGUGGAGUCGUCUUGCAAAACGUGACUAUGUGAAUGAAGUGCUAGAAGAUAAGGAGGACAAGGCCGUUACAGCCGUUGAGUCCGCAGCAGCAAAGAUGAGCAUCAAGCAGCUACUCGCGCACGUUAGGAAAUAGACUGGAAAUCCGACUACGCUACCCCUACGACGACAACGGCAACUUGAAAAGUGAAGUUUUGAAAAAGAACAUGCUUAUGAUAUAAUCCAUCUUCAACAAACAUCUUGUACACAAGCUUUGUGUCUGGUGUUGUGUUAAUGCCCCCGGUAGGGUGGCAUUAAGCAGUUGAACUGUCCGUCAGUUCGUCUAUCAGUCUGUCAGUCUGUGCGUCCGUCCGAAAACUUUAACAUUGGCCAUAACUUUUGCAAUAAUGAAGAUAACAACUUGGUUUUUGGCAUGCAUGUGUAUUUUAUGAAGCUGCACAUUGUGAGUGGUUAAAGGUUAAGGUCAAGAUCAACCUUCGAGGUCAAAAGUAAAAAAUACAAUGCAAGGGAAGUAAUAAGCUUUAAAAGGGGAAUAAUUUCUCAACCUGCCCUAUGAUAUAUUGAAUUUUUAUUUAAAAGCGGCGCAAUCGAUUCUCACCAAGGCGACCCGGGUUUGAUCCCCGUUCCCGGCGCAUGUGAAUUUGGUUGGUGGUCAUCAUACCGGACAGGUGGGGUUUCCUCCGGGUAAUCCGGUUUCCCCCCACAUCACAAGACAACCUCAAAAUUAAAAAUAUUUCAGUAAACAAUAAAUAGCUAGAAAUUGCAGCUAUCAUUCAAAAUUCGUCCCAACUUUCGGGAGUCUAACAUCCGAUUAGGAAGGAGUGCUGGGACACACUCCGGGUCCUCACCUAAUGCAGCCUCUGGCGCGGAGGGACCUCAUUAACAUUGAAAUACACACACAGGGGCAUUGGUUUCUGACAGACACAUCUAUUGUUUAUAAAUAAAAUUGCAUUUGUAUACAUGUCUGUGUUCUAUUAUUUACCUUUUAAAUGUUUGAGAUAUAUUGGCGAACGUUUGAGAAAGUUCAUAGUGUUUUGAUUCACAGUGUUUCAAACAACCUGGCAUGGCCGUUAAAAAUUAGUAUUAAAUUGUUCAACGAAAAAGACCUAAGUGACUUGUUCAUUGAUAUUUCAAGAAGUUAUUAUGGUGGCUAACAUAUAGUAUU